RNAcentral lists this ribosomal RNA (496 nucleotides) under uncultured bacterium. RNAcentral's name for it is "partial 16S ribosomal RNA". It matches the Rfam family "Bacterial small subunit ribosomal RNA", at positions 29 to 507 of the family's 1533-position model. The record is from RNAcentral.
AUGAACGCUGGCGGCGUGCCUAAUACAUGCAAGUCGAGCGAACGGACGAGAAGCUUGCUUCUCUGAUGUUAGCGGCGGACGGGUGAGUAACACGUGGAUAACCUACCUAUAAGACUGGGAUAACUUCGGGAAACCGGAGCUAAUACCGGAUAAUAUUUUGAACCGCAUGGUUCAAAAGUGAAAGACGGUCUUGCUGUCACUUAUAGAUGGAUCCGCGCUGCAUUAGCUAGUUGGUAAGGUAACGGCUUACCAAGGCAACGAUGCAUAGCCGACCUGAGAGGGUGAUCGGCCACACUGGAACUGAGACACGGUCCAGACUCCUACGGGAGGCAGCAGUAGGGAAUCCUCCGCAAUGGGCGAAAGCCUGACGGAGCAACGCCGCGUGAGUGAUGAAGGUCUUCGGAUCGUAAAACUCUGUUAUUAGGGAAGAACAUAUGUGUAAGUAACUGUGCACAUCUUGACGGUACCUAAUCAGAAAGCCACGGCUAACUACGUG